This 411-nucleotide long non-coding RNA is filed under the name Mytilus galloprovincialis (Mediterranean mussel). The record is from RNAcentral. Lineage: Eukaryota; Metazoa; Mollusca; Bivalvia; Mytilida; Mytilidae.
AUGACAAUUAUUAUAAUGUGUAUGAUUUAUAUUAUAGCUGACAGUUCAACUUUAGUCAGUUCAAGCAGCCAAGAUGACUCUUUUAUCAUUUUCAAGAUAUAACUUACACUUUGGUAAUUGUGGUCUUCCUCACACCGAAAUACUGAUUUAUAUCUUUAACUGACCGGCGGCAUCAACAAUGUGUUAGUGUAUAAUUAUUUUUUUUUAGUUCAGUUUAUUACGAACUACUAGUGGUAGGUCAAUGUUAUUUGGUAUGCAGUUGAAUAAUUACAUAUAAGUAUUGGCACAUCUCUUUUCCCAUGAGAUUGUUUCGCCCUGUACCAUCUGUCAUGGUUCAUUUACUUUGAAUAUCAGUAAAUUCAUCAACAAUGUGUUAGUGUAUAAUUAUUUUUUUUUAGUUCAGUUUAUUAC